This 84-nucleotide transfer RNA is filed under the name Clostridia bacterium. RNAcentral's name for it is "tRNA-Leu". It matches the Rfam family "tRNA". From Rfam's summary of the family: Transfer RNA (tRNA) molecules are approximately 80 nucleotides in length. Their secondary structure includes four short double-helical elements and three loops (D, anti-codon, and T loops). The record is from RNAcentral. RNAcentral also lists the same sequence under 2 other names. Lineage: Bacteria; Bacillati; Bacillota; Clostridia.
GCGGGUGUGGCGGAAUUGGCAGACGCGCUAGCCUUAGGAGCUAGUGUCACCGAUGUGCAGGUUCAAGUCCUGUCACCCGCACCA